GACGAACGCUGGCGGCGUGCUUAACACAUGCAAGUCGAACGGAAAGGCCCUGCUUUUGUGGGGUGCUCGAGUGGCGAACGGGUGAGUAACACGUGAGUAACCUGCCCUUGACUUUGGGAUAACUUCAGGAAACUGGGGCUAAUACCGGAUAGGAGCUCCUGCUGCAUGGUGGGGGUUGGAAAGUUUCGGCGGUUGGGGAUGGACUCGCGGCUUAUCAGCUUGUUGGUGGGGUAGUGGCUUACCAAGGCUUUGACGGGUAGCCGGCCUGAGAGGGUGACCGGCCACAUUGGGACUGGGAUACGGCCCAGACUGCUACGGGAGGCAGCAGUGGGGAAUAUUGCAGAAUGGGCGGAAGCCUGAUGCAGCAACGCCGCGUGCGGGAUGACGGCCUUCGGGUUGUAAACCGCUUUCGCCUGUGACGAAGCGUGAGUGACGGUAAUGGGUAAAGAAGCACCGGCUAACUACGUG
Molecule: ribosomal RNA, 468 nt
Filed under: uncultured bacterium
Lineage: Bacteria
Description: partial 16S ribosomal RNA
Rfam family: Bacterial small subunit ribosomal RNA
Source: RNAcentral